GACGAACGCUGGCGGCGUGCCUAAUACAUGCAAGUAGAACGCACAGUUUAUACCGUAGCUUGCUACACCAUAGACUGUGAGUUGCGAACGGGUGAGUAACGCGUAGGUAACCUGCCUGGUAGCGGGGGAUAACUAUUGGAAACGAUAGCUAAUACCGCAUAAUAUUCAUUAUUGCAUGAUAAUUAAUUGAAAGGUGCAAUUGCACCACUACCAGAUGGACCUGCGUUGUAUUAGCUAGUAGGUGAGGUAACGGCUCACCUAAGCGACGAUACAUAGCCGAACUGAGAAGGGGGUCGGCCAAACUGGGACUGAGACACGGCCCAGAAUCCUACGGGAGGCAGCAGUAGGGAAUCUUCGGCAAUGGACGAAAGGCUGACCGAGCAACGCCGCGUGAGUGAAGAAGGUUUUCGGAUCGUAAAGAUCUGUUGUAGGAGAAGAACGGGUGUGAGAGUGGAAAGUUCACACUGUGACGGUAUCUUACCAGAAAGGGACGGCUAACUACGUG
RNAcentral lists this ribosomal RNA (505 nucleotides) under uncultured bacterium. Its description in RNAcentral is "partial 16S ribosomal RNA". It matches the Rfam family "Bacterial small subunit ribosomal RNA", at positions 28 to 507 of the family's 1533-position model. The record is from RNAcentral.